AGUGAACGCUGGCGGUAGGCCUAACACAUGCAAGUCGAACGGCAGCACAGUAAGAGCUUGCUCUUACGGGUGGCGAGUGGCGGACGGGUGAGGAAUACAUCGGAAUCUACUUUUUCGUGGGGGGUAACGUAGGGAAACUUACGCGAAUACCGCAUACGACCUACGGGUGAAAGCAGGGGAUCUUCGGACCUUUCGCGAUGGAAUGAGCCGAUGUCGGAUUAGCUAGUUGGCGGGGUAAAGGCCCACCAAGGCGACGAUCCGUAGCUGGUCUGAGAGGAUGAUCAGCCACACUGGAACUGAGACACGGUCCAGACUCCUACGGGAGGCAGCAGUGGGGAAUAUUGGACAAUGGGCGCAAGCCUGAUCCAGCCAUACCGCGUGGGUGAAGAAGGCCUUCGGGUUGUAAAGCCCUUUUGUUGGGAAAGAAAAGCAGCAGGUUAAUACCCCGCUGUUCUGACGGUACCCAAAGAAUAAGCACCGGCUAACUUCGUG
Molecule: ribosomal RNA, 492 nt
Filed under: uncultured bacterium
Lineage: Bacteria
Description: partial 16S ribosomal RNA
Rfam family: Bacterial small subunit ribosomal RNA
Source: RNAcentral